Molecule: ribosomal RNA, 253 nt
Filed under: uncultured bacterium
Lineage: Bacteria
Description: partial 16S ribosomal RNA
Rfam family: Bacterial small subunit ribosomal RNA
Source: RNAcentral
UACGUAGGGUGCAAGCGUUAAUCGGAAUUACUGGGCGUAAAGCGCACGUAGGCGGAUCGUUAAGUCGGGGGUGAAAUCCUGGAGCUCAACUCCAGAACUGCCUUCGAUACUGGAGAGCUUGAGUCCGGGAGAGGUGAGUGGAACUGCGAGUGUAGAGGUGAAAUUCGUAGAUAUUCGCAAGAACACCAGUGGCGAAGGCGGCUCACUGGCCCGGUACUGACGCUGAGGUGCGAAAGCGUGGGGAGCAAACAGG